RNAcentral lists this ribosomal RNA (236 nucleotides) under uncultured Staphylococcus sp. Its description in RNAcentral is "partial 16S ribosomal RNA". It matches the Rfam family "Bacterial small subunit ribosomal RNA", at positions 103 to 334 of the family's 1533-position model. Lineage: Bacteria; Bacillati; Bacillota; Bacilli; Caryophanales; Staphylococcaceae. The record is from RNAcentral.
CGGGUGAGUAACACGUGGAUAACCUACCUAUAAGACUGGGAUAACUUCGGGAAACCGGAGCUAAUACCGGAUAAUAUAUUGAACCGCAUGGUUCAAUAGUGAAAGACGGUUUUGCUGUCACUUAUAGAUGGAUCCGCGCCGCAUUAGCUAGUUGGUAAGGUAACAGCUUACAAGGCAACGAUGCGUAGCCGACCUGAGAGGGUGAUCGGCCACACUGGAACUGAGACACGGUCCAG